RNAcentral lists this ribosomal RNA (983 nucleotides) under Plantibacter sp. enrichment culture clone HY12. RNAcentral's name for it is "bacterial SSU rRNA". It matches the Rfam family "Bacterial small subunit ribosomal RNA", at positions 103 to 1099 of the family's 1533-position model. Lineage: Bacteria; Bacillati; Actinomycetota; Actinomycetes; Micrococcales; Microbacteriaceae. The record is from RNAcentral.
CGGGUGAGUAACACGUGAGUAACCUGCCCUUGACUCUGGGAUAAGCGUUGGAAACGACGUCUAAUACCGGAUACGAGCUUCAGCCGCAUGGCUAGGAGCUGGAAAGAAUUUCGGUCAAGGAUGGACUCGCGGCCUAUCAGCUAGUUGGUGAGGUAAUGGCUCACCAAGGCGACGACGGGUAGCCGGCCUGAGAGGGUGACCGGCCACACUGGAACUGAGACACGGUCCAGACUCCUACGGGAGGCAGCAGUGGGGAAUAUUGCACAAUGGGCGAAAGCCUGAUGCAGCAACGCCGCGUGAGGGACGACGGCCUUCGGGUUGUAAACCUCUUUUAGCAGGGAAGAAGCGAAAGUGACGGUACCUGCAGAAAAAGCACCGGCUAACUACGUGCCAGCAGCCGCGGUAAUACGUAGGGUGCAAGCGUUGUCCGGAAUUAUUGGGCGUAAAGAGCUCGUAGGCGGUUUGUCGCGUCUGCUGUGAAAUCCCGAGGCUCAACCUCGGGUCUGCAGUGGGUACGGGCAGACUAGAGUGCGGUAGGGGAGAUUGGAAUUCCUGGUGUAGCGGUGGAAUGCGCAGAUAUCAGGAGGAACACCGAUGGCGAAGGCAGAUCUCUGGGCCGUAACUGACGCUGAGGAGCGAAAGGGUGGGGAGCAAACAGGCUUAGAUACCCUGGUAGUCCACCCCGUAAACGUUGGGCGCUAGAUGUGGGGACCAUUCCACGGUUUCCGUGUCGUAGCUAACGCAUUAAGCGCCCCGCCUGGGGAGUACGGCCGCAAGGCUAAAACUCAAAGGAAUUGACGGGGGCCCGCACAAGCGGCGGAGCAUGCGGAUUAUUUCGAUGCAACGCGAAGAACCUUACCAAGGCUUGACAUAUACGAGAACGGGCCAGAAAUGGUCAACUCUUUGGACACUCGUAAACAGGUGGUGCAUGGUUGUCGUCAGCUCGUGUCGUGAGAUGUUGGGUUAAGUCCCGCAACGAGCGC